RNAcentral lists this ribosomal RNA (468 nucleotides) under uncultured bacterium. Its description in RNAcentral is "partial 16S ribosomal RNA". It matches the Rfam family "Bacterial small subunit ribosomal RNA", at positions 28 to 507 of the family's 1533-position model. The record is from RNAcentral.
GACGAACGCUGGCGGCGUGCUUAACACAUGCAAGUCGAACGGAAAGGCCCUGCUUUUGUGGGGUGCUCGAGUGGCGAACGUGUGAGUAACACGUGAGUAACCUGCCCUUGACUUUGUGAUAACUUCAGGAAACUGGGGCUAAUACCGGAUAGGAUCUCCUGCUGCAUGGUGGGGGUUGGAAAGUUUCGGCGGUUGGGGAUGGACUCGCGGCUUAUCAGCUUGUUUGUGGGGUAGUGGCUUACCAAGGCUUUGACGGGUAGCAGGCCUGAGAGGGUGACCGGCGACAUGGGGACUGAGAGACGGAGCAGAAUGGAACGGGAGGCAGCAGUGGGGAAUAUUGCAAAAUGGGCGGAAGCAUGAUGAAGAAAGGCAGGGGGCGGGAUGACGGCCUUCGGGUUGUAAAAAGAUGUGGAAUGAGACGAAGAGGGAGUGACGGUAAUGGGUAAAGAAGCAACGGCUAACUACGUG